Molecule: ribosomal RNA, 811 nt
Filed under: Enterobacter sp. MX-MONARCH13
Lineage: Bacteria; Pseudomonadati; Pseudomonadota; Gammaproteobacteria; Enterobacterales; Enterobacteriaceae
Description: bacterial SSU rRNA
Rfam family: Bacterial small subunit ribosomal RNA
Source: RNAcentral
UGGAAACGGUAGCUAAUACCGCAUAACGUCGCAAGACCAAAGAGGGGGACCUUCGGGCCUCUUGCCAUCAGAUGUGCCCAGAUGGGAUUAGCUAGUAGGUGGGGUAAUGGCUCACCUAGGCGACGAUCCCUAGCUGGUCUGAGAGGAUGACCAGCCACACUGGAACUGACACACGGUCCAGACUCCUACGGGAGGCAGCAGUGGGGAAUAUUGCACAAUGGGCGCAAGCCUGAUGCACCCAUGCCGCGUGUAUGAAGAAGGCCUUCGGGUUGUAAAAUACUUUCAGCGAGGAAGAAGGCAUUGUGGUUAAUAACCACAGUGAUUGACGUUACUCGCAGAAGAAGCACCGGCUAACUCCGUGCCAGCACCCGCGGUAAUACAGAGGGUGCAAGCGUUAAUCAGAAUUACUGGGCGUAAAGCGCACGCAGGCGGUCUGUCAAGUCAGAUGUGAAAUCCCCGGGCUCAACCUGGGAACUGCAUUCGAAACUGGCACGCUAGAGUCUUGUAGAGGGGGGUAGAAUUCCGUGUGUAGCGGUGAAAUGCGUAGAGAUCUGGAAGAAUACCGGUGGCGAACGCGGCCCCCUGGACAAAGACUGACGCUCAUGUGCGAAAGCGUGGGGAGCAAACAAGAUUAGAUACCCUGGUAGUCCACGCCGUAAACGAUGUCGACUUGGAUGUUGUUCUCUUGAGGAGUGGCUUCCGGAGCUAACGCGUUAAGUCGACCGCCUGGGGAGUACGGCCGCAAGGUUAAAACUCAAAUGAAUUGACGGGGGCCCGCACAAGCGGUGGAGCAUGUGGUUUAAUUCGAUGC